RNAcentral lists this ribosomal RNA (1251 nucleotides) under Triticum aestivum (bread wheat). RNAcentral's name for it is "partial small subunit ribosomal RNA". The record is from RNAcentral. Lineage: Eukaryota; Viridiplantae; Streptophyta; Magnoliopsida; Poales; Poaceae.
AUGACCGGACAAGCCGGCGUUGUCGGUGUGUUCUUCGCGGGCUGCUGGCUGCGGCUCCGCUCGGUGCUCGUCGGGCUCUGCUGCUGGGUCGCGGGGUUCGCCAGGAAGGUGGGCAGGAUCGCCAGGGAGGAUCCAAGGCGGGUGGCGCACUCGUUCAAGGUCGGCCUGGCGCUCACUCUGGUGUCCGUCUUGUACUACGUGACGCCGCUGUUCAAGGGCUUCGGGGUCUCCACGCUCUGGGCCGUGCUCACCGUCGUCGUUGUCAUGGAGUACACCGUCGGUGGCACGCUGAGCAAAGGCUUGAAUAGAGCCUUCGCGACGUUUGUGGCUGGAUUCAUCGCCGUGGGAGCUCAUCAGGUAGCUAACCGCUGUGGUGCGCAGGGGGAGCCAAUACUGCUCGCCAUCUUCGUCUUCUUGCUAGCGUCGGCAGCAACAUUCUCGCGCUUCAUCCCGGAGAUCAAGGCGAGGUAUGACUACGGCGUGACCAUCUUCAUACUGACCUUCAGCCUGGUGGCCGUGUCGAGCUACCGCGUGGAGGAACUUAUUCAGCUGGCACACCAGCGCUUCUCCACCAUCGUCAUCGGCGUCCUUACCUGCCUCUGCACCACCAUCUUCGUCUUCCCUGUCUGGGCCGGCGAGGAUCUUCACAAGCUCACCGCAGGCAACCUCGAUAAGCUGGCACAGUUUCUUCAAGGAUUGGAAUCUGAAUGCUUUGGAGAAAAGGCUGCCAGCGAGAAUUUGGAGGGCAAAGCCUUUCUACAAGUGUACAAGAGCGUCCUCAACUCCAAGGCCAGUGAGGACUCCCUGAAGCUCGGAGCUCUUUGUCGUCAGUGCGCGUCUUCAAUGGAGGCUCUUGCUUCCUAUGUCAUCACACUGCAAAAGUCCCAGUACCCUGAGGCCAAUCCAGAGCUAACCUUGAAGGUCCGAACGGCGUGCGGGGAAAUGAGCUCGCACUCUGCUAAGGCGCUCAAGGAGCUAUCAACGGCCAUUCGGACAAUGAUCGUACCAUGUCCAGCCAACAUCGCCAUGUCCGCAGCCAUCAAAGCUGCAAAAGACCUCAGAAAUGAAUUGUCAGAGGAAGCAGCCCUGUUGCAAGUGAUGCAUGUGGCUGUUACUGCCACACUUCUCUCAGACUUGGUUACGACAAUAGUGAAAAUUGCAGAAACCGCUGACAAUCUAGCACGGCUUGGCCACUUCAAGAAGCCUGAAAAAACUCAGAAAGAUGUCGCUAUCAACAUUCCGAGCAGAUAA